GACAGAGGGUGCAAACGUUGUUCGGAAUUACUGGGCGUAAAGCGUGUGUAGGCGGCUACGUAAGUCGGAUGUGAAAGCCCCGGGCUCAACCCGGGAAGUGCACUCGAUACUGCGUAGCUUGAGUACCGGAGAGGUUGGUGGAAUUCUCGGUGUAGAGGUGAAAUUCGUAGAUAUCGAGAGGAACACCGGUGGCGAAGGCGGCCAACUGGACGAGUACUGACGCUGAGACACGAAAGCGUGGGGAGCAAACAGG
Molecule: ribosomal RNA, 253 nt
Filed under: uncultured bacterium
Lineage: Bacteria
Description: partial 16S ribosomal RNA
Rfam family: Bacterial small subunit ribosomal RNA
Source: RNAcentral